RNAcentral lists this ribosomal RNA (440 nucleotides) under uncultured bacterium. RNAcentral's name for it is "partial 16S ribosomal RNA". It matches the Rfam family "Bacterial small subunit ribosomal RNA", at positions 338 to 795 of the family's 1533-position model. The record is from RNAcentral.
CCUACGGGUGGCAGCAGUGGGGAAUAUUGCACAAUGGGGGAAACCCUGAUGCAGCGACGCCGCGUGAGUGAAGAAGUAUCUCGGUAUGUAAAGCUCUAUCAGCAGGGAAGAAAAUGCAGUUACCUGACUAAGAAGCCCCGGCUAACCCCGUGCCAGCAGCCGCGGUCAUACGUAGGGGGCAAGCGUUAUCCGGAUUUACUGGGUGUAAAGGGAGCGUAGACGGCGCUGCAAGUCCGGAGUGAAAGCCCAUGGCUGAACCAUGGUACUGCUCGGGAAACUGUGGAGCUGGAGUGCGGGAGGGGCAGGCGGAAUUGCUAGUGUAGCGGUGAAAUGCGUAGAUAUUAGGAGGAACACCGGCGGCGAAGGCGGACUGCUGGACCGUAACUGACGUUGAGGCUCGAAAGCGUGGGGAGCAAACAGGAUUAGAUACCCGGGUAGUC